GGGUUGGUAGCUCAGCAGGUAGAGCAACGGACUUUUAAUCCGUAGGCCGACGGUUCGAGCCCGUCCCAACUCACCA
Molecule: transfer RNA, 76 nt
Filed under: Deltaproteobacteria bacterium HGW-Deltaproteobacteria-17
Lineage: Bacteria; Deltaproteobacteria
Also listed under: 2 other names
Description: tRNA-Lys
Rfam family: tRNA
About the family: Transfer RNA (tRNA) molecules are approximately 80 nucleotides in length. Their secondary structure includes four short double-helical elements and three loops (D, anti-codon, and T loops).
Source: RNAcentral